RNAcentral lists this transfer RNA (72 nucleotides) under Chthonomonas sp. RNAcentral describes it as "tRNA-Val". It matches the Rfam family "tRNA". From Rfam's summary of the family: Transfer RNA (tRNA) molecules are approximately 80 nucleotides in length. Their secondary structure includes four short double-helical elements and three loops (D, anti-codon, and T loops). Lineage: Bacteria; Bacillati; Armatimonadota; Chthonomonadia; Chthonomonadales; Chthonomonadaceae. The record is from RNAcentral.
GGGCGGUUGGCUCAGCGGCAGAGCGCUUCGUUCACACCGAAGAGGUCACUGGUUCAAAUCCAGUACCGCCCA